This is a long non-coding RNA of Astatotilapia calliptera (eastern happy), 1852 nucleotides long. The record is from Ensembl. Lineage: Eukaryota; Metazoa; Chordata; Actinopteri; Cichliformes; Cichlidae.
CGCACACACACAAACACCCAGAUGCACAAAAGCAAUAAAGCUCAUUUGAUUUAUCAUAAUAUGCUUUAUCUCAAAAGUAAGUAUCUUAUCUCCAGAUAAAGAGAGGAAAGACAGAGCAAUCCGUUCAGUGGCGGUGCGGGAUGGAACAACAGCAGCAGCACUGCAGGGGUGUGAAUUGGAUGGGUCAGCAGGUAAACUUAACCAAAAAAGGUAAGAGAAGAAGAUGCACUGGAAGGAGAGGAGAGAGCGCACAACAGAGAACUCAGAGCUGCUGCACCUGAAGGAGGCACCUUGGGUUUACAUGGGAAUGGAUUAAAAACACACAGUUGGGGUCGCGUUAGUCCCAAACUGUUCUUGUGGAGCAGGUUGUUGCCAGUGAUGAAAGAAUCAUCCUCAGGAGUGAGUGUAUCAUACUGUACAUGUGUGACUGACAGGCACCUUUACAGGCUUAUAGGGUUCUGGCCUCGACGAGCUUUGUUGUUGUUUUAUUAGAUUGUUAAAUCAUGACUUAUUAAAGAGUAAUGUUUUACUUUUAGCUAUGUAAUCGUUCUGUUUUAUUUUCUUUUAGGGUGUUGGUGUUGUUGAAUAGUGAUGUUCUUUUUAUUAAACACUGCUAAUCUUUUCGGACUGAUUUAUGUUUGUUUAAAAUAGAAGUGGUGUUCAAACACUGCCCGCUUGAUGAUUGCAAUGUGCUCUCUGUUCAUCAGUGGGACAGCUCUUCCUACGGCUGCAACAACAAAUAGGGAAAUAGGGAAGAGGACUGAGCUGGUUUAAUCCCUACCCUUCCCCCCAAGACAGGACUUACAGAGACAUUUUCAGAGUGAAUCAAGUGAGCCAACGUCUAUAUAUGAAACUGAACAUUUUCUGAUUUGUGUGCUGAACGAGGCCUUAAAGCUCAGAAAGAUGGUAAAGAAGACAGAGACCAGGUAUCCAGGUGGAUGGAAGACGGGGAGAAAAGACCCACAUACAGAUGGAUGGGUGGAUGGAGGGGAAGUGAGAGGAAAAGCAGAAUGCACAAGACUGUAAAGCUAUUCUUCUAGGACCUCCGAAGUGGCAGGCGGCCACGAGUUUUCACGGCGUUCAAUAAAUGCAGCGAAGCGCCCGUCUUGAAGAAGCCGUGCCUGUGUUGUCAUUUCGGAGUUACACCAAGGAUUUGGGGUUUAAAAGCCACGGAGAUGCGGUGUUUAGAAAAAAAUGUGUCUCAACUGUUCCAAUAUUCCUGACACGUACAGGUUCACUACUAGUUUUCGCAGCGGUUGUCCUUCUCCCCUGGAUCGGCUGGAGCUUUCUUUAGGCACCUUCCCAGCUUUGACAAAUGUCCAGCUGGGAUAACCACAUUUACUCAGGGCCUUCUUGAUGUGAUGUUCUUCUGGUGUUCGCUCUGUGUUGUAGCGUCCUGAUGACACCCAGUUUAUGCUCCAGUGGAUGAUGAGAGUCAAACCUUAAAUACUGAUCCGUAUGCGUAGGUUUACGGUACACAUCAAUUUUUAAAUGUCCCCAAUUUCUGCUUCUAUGGAAGCCAACCUGCCACUUUUCAUAUCCUCCCUGGUGAAUUUGAGGUGUUGGUCCACUGAGCUGAGCUGGUUUCAGUCAUGCAAAUGUCCUGUUUAUAUGAUUGGGGAAACCUGCAGUUAGCUGAGACUGAAGAAGUCGAAACGUUUCUCCCACUGAAAACACUACGGCCAGAUGAACACAAUCAACCUUUUGGGAUUUACUUACCUGGAUGAUUGAGCACGUAUCAAGACAAAGCAAUACUGUAAAGAAUUAUUUUAGUUCGUUUUAUUAUUUCUGUCUAGUAUUAAAAUUUAUUUGAAAAUCUGAAUCAUGUAAGUGUGACAAAUAUGCAAGAAAA